CCUAUAACCCCAAGAGACAUCUUAUGACAUGGUGAAUUAAUAAACAUGCAGAGAAUUAAAGGAUGGAAAGAGUUUUAAUUGAAUUGGACUCUUCCAAUUCCAACACCCAAAUAAAUAUGGCAUCCCAAAAUAAUUUGGUGUGGAGUUCCUUCCAAGAGAAGGACUCCACCUCUUCUUCCAUGUCCAUAUUAUCCCAAGGCAUCAUCGCAUGGUGCAUAAAAUUAAGGGACAAGUGGAUCAUGUAAAAAAAUUAAGAUAAGUAAAAAAGGACUCCUCUCCUUAACUUCCAAAAUUA
This 295-nucleotide long non-coding RNA is filed under the name Elaeis guineensis (African oil palm). RNAcentral's name for it is "long non-coding RNA (EGUI_LNC059641)". Lineage: Eukaryota; Viridiplantae; Streptophyta; Magnoliopsida; Arecales; Arecaceae. The record is from RNAcentral.